CGAACACAGUGAAGGGUCUUGUGCAAGGGACCACAGCUGUGUGUGUUUAUGAGUGGAGUGACCAUGUCCUGAAGACAGCAUUCCACAGCACUUCUCAUUCUCCAUCUCUUACAUUCUUUUUGAUCCCUCUUCCGCAAUGUUCCCAGAGCCAUGGUGUCCUUGUGGUGGGGUUCGUCAUCCGUUAUAAGUGGCUCCCUUCCCUCUGGCUUCUUCUUACUCCCCAAUAACUCAAGAGAGAGUCUGAGCACCUUU
Long non-coding RNA from Mus musculus (house mouse), 252 nucleotides. RefSeq annotates it as predicted gene, 34822. The record is from RefSeq and is a predicted model, not a curated record. NCBI's taxonomy places the organism in Eukaryota, Metazoa, Chordata, Mammalia, Rodentia, Muridae. The transcript has 4 exons.